This 494-nucleotide ribosomal RNA is filed under the name uncultured bacterium. Its description in RNAcentral is "partial 16S ribosomal RNA". It matches the Rfam family "Bacterial small subunit ribosomal RNA", at positions 28 to 507 of the family's 1533-position model. The record is from RNAcentral.
GACGAACGCUGGCGGCGUGCUUAACACAUGCAAGUCGAACGGUGAAGCGCCUUCCUUUUUGGUGGGUGUGGAUGAGUGGCGAACGGGUGAGUAACACGUGAGUAACCUGCCCCCUUCUUCUGGAUAACCGCAUGAAAGUGUGGCUAAUACGGGAUAUUCUGGGUCUGUCGCAUGAUGGGUCUGGGAAAGAUAUUGUUUCGGUGGGGGAUGGGCUCGCGGCCUAUCAGCUUGUUGGUGGGGUGAUGGCCUACCAAGGCGGUGACGGGUAGCCGGCCUGAGAGGGUGGACGGUCACACUGGGACUGAGACACGGCCCAGACUCCUACGGGAGGCAGCAGUGGGGAAUAUUGCACAAUGGGCGCAAGCCUGGUGCAGCGACGCCGCGUGAGGGAUGGAGGCCUUCGGGUUGUGAACCUCUUUCGCCAGUGAAGCAGGCCUGCCUCGUUUGUGGGUGGGUUGACGGUAGCUGGAGAAGAAGCGCCGGCUAACUACGUG